UACGGGGGGGGCAAGCGUUGUUCGGAAUGACUGGGCGUAAAGGGCUCGUAGGCGGCCAACUAAGUCAGACGUGAAAUCCCUCGGCUUAACCGGGGAACUGCGUCUGAUACUGGAUGGCUUGAAUCCGGGAGAGGGAUGCGGAAUUCCAGGUGUAGCGGUGAAAUGCGUAGAUAUCUGGAGGAACACCGGUGGCGAAGGCGGCAUCCUGGACCGGCAUUGACGCUGAGGAGCGAAAGCCAGGGGAGCAAACGGG
This 253-nucleotide ribosomal RNA is filed under the name uncultured bacterium. RNAcentral describes it as "partial 16S ribosomal RNA". It matches the Rfam family "Bacterial small subunit ribosomal RNA", at positions 524 to 776 of the family's 1533-position model. The record is from RNAcentral.